UAACAGGUAUGCUAGCGUAGCGGUGGCCUUCGCGUUCACUUGAGCUACAAACACCAACGGCUAACUUUAGCUUAGUCUGUUUUUCACUGGACUUAGACCAAUUUAAGGGUUUUGUUUGAACCUAAAGCAACAGACAGUGAGUUUCAACAGAGUUUCAGUCGACGCAGCUUGAACUUUACUUUCACGAAAAGCUAAAUCACUUAAACGUUAGCUAGCUAGCGAGCUAACAUUCGCUGAUUGAGGUGAGCGUGCGACCGCACUUUGGUCAUGUUAGCGGUUAGCUUUUUUUUUUUUUUUUAAGCUUUGUUAAGAAGCUAACGUUAUUAGGUUAAAGAUUAUUUGACAAUAUGGUGAAAUAUUGGUGUUUGGGCUUUAAAUUCAGUGCCCUCUCAAUAGCACACAGCGUCCCUUCGAUAGCUCAGUUGGUAGAGCGGAGGACUGUAGUGGCUUGACAGCUGAAAUCCUUAGGUCGCUGGUUCGAAUCCGGCUCGAAGGAGACACCUUUUUCCUACCGUCAACCACUUUUCUUUAGUGCCAUCCAACCGACAACACACGUACUGUUGUUUCAAAUUGUAGCGUUAGUACUUUCUCCUCGCUGCGUUUUCCUAUGCCAACAACGGCAUUUCUGGACUUGAAAGUGAUUUUUAUGUUUUUCAUCACAGCACCUCAAGGUGGCAGAGUGGCCUCUCAGCCUGGACAGGCCUGUCUUCUGACCUGCAAUCUGGGACGAAUGGUGAUCCGAGUCUAGCAGCGAGCGGAAGCGUAGGGCCACCUCUAUCUGUCCUGGGUGGGGCCGCAGCGUGUGGAUGUCUGCAGGAGGAGACCAGAAAAUGAGG
Epinephelus fuscoguttatus (brown-marbled grouper) is the source of this 836-nucleotide long non-coding RNA. RefSeq lists it as uncharacterized. Lineage: Eukaryota; Metazoa; Chordata; Actinopteri; Perciformes; Serranidae. The record is from RefSeq and is a predicted model, not a curated record. The transcript is spliced from 3 exons.